This 87-nucleotide transfer RNA is filed under the name Clostridiaceae bacterium. RNAcentral's name for it is "tRNA-Leu". It matches the Rfam family "tRNA". From Rfam's summary of the family: Transfer RNA (tRNA) molecules are approximately 80 nucleotides in length. Their secondary structure includes four short double-helical elements and three loops (D, anti-codon, and T loops). RNAcentral also lists the same sequence under 1 other name. Lineage: Bacteria; Bacillati; Bacillota; Clostridia; Eubacteriales; Clostridiaceae. The record is from RNAcentral.
GCGAAAGUGGUGGAACUGGCAGACUCGCUAGAUUCAGGUUCUAGUGUCCGCAAGGGCGUGCGGGUUCAAAUCCCGCCUUUCGCACCA